RNAcentral lists this ribosomal RNA (497 nucleotides) under uncultured bacterium. RNAcentral describes it as "partial 16S ribosomal RNA". It matches the Rfam family "Bacterial small subunit ribosomal RNA", at positions 28 to 507 of the family's 1533-position model. The record is from RNAcentral.
GACGAACGCUGGCGGCGUGCCUAAUACAUGCAAGUUGAGCGAUGAAGAUUGGUGCUUGCACCAAUUUGAAGAGCAGCGAACGGGUGAGUAACGCGUGGGGAAUCUGCCUUUGAGCGGGGGACAACAUUUGGAAACGAAUGCUAAUAUCGCAUAACAACUUUAAACAUAAGUUUUAAGUUUGAAAGAUGCAAUUGCAUCACUCAAAGAUGAUCCCGCGUUGUAUUAGCUAGUUGGUGAGGUAAAGGCUCACCAAGGCGAUGAUACAUAGCCGACCUGAGAGGGUGAUCGGCCACAUUGGGACUGAGACACGGCCCAAACUCCUACGGGAGGCAGCAGUAGGGAAUCUUCGGCAAUGGACGAAAGUCUGACCGAGCAACGCCGCGUGAGUGAAGAAGGUUUUCGGAUCGUAAAACUCUGUUGGUAGAGAAGAACGUUGGUGAGAGUGGAAAGCUCAUCAAGUGACGGUAACUACCCAGAAAGGGACGGCUAACUACGUG